Molecule: ribosomal RNA, 465 nt
Filed under: Vreelandella stevensii
Lineage: Bacteria; Pseudomonadati; Pseudomonadota; Gammaproteobacteria; Oceanospirillales; Halomonadaceae
Description: partial 16S ribosomal RNA
Rfam family: Bacterial small subunit ribosomal RNA
Source: RNAcentral
CCUACGGGAGGCUGCAGUGGGGAAUAUUGGACAAUGGGUGAAAGCCUGAUCCAGCCAUGCCGCGUGUGUGAAGAAGGCCUUCGGGUUGUAAAGCACUUUCAGUGGGGAAGAAAGCCUUGGGGCUAAUACCCUCGAGGAAGGACAUCACCCACAGAAGAAGCACCGGCUAACUCCGUGCCAGCAGCCGCGGUAAUACGGAGGGUGCGAGCGUUAAUCGGAAUUACUGGGCGUAAAGCGCGCGUAGGCGGUCUGAUAAGCCGGUUGUGAAAGCCCCGGGCUCAACCUGGGAACGGCAUCCGGAACUGUCAGGCUAGAGUGCAGGAGAGGAAGGUAGAAUUCCCGGUGUAGCGGUGAAAUGCGUAGAGAUCGGGAGGAAUACCAGUGGCGAAGGCGGCCUUCUGGACUGACACUGACGCUGAGGUGCGAAAGCGUGGGUAGCAAACAGGAUUAGAUACCCUUGUAGUC